This 107-nucleotide small nucleolar RNA is filed under the name Nicotiana attenuata. RNAcentral describes it as "Plant small nucleolar RNA R71". It matches the Rfam family "Plant small nucleolar RNA R71". Rfam says of the family: R71 is a member of the C/D box family of snoRNAs containing the C (UGAUGA) and D (CUGA) box motifs. Multiple nearly identical copies of this snoRNA have been identified in Arabidopsis, and it is thought to function as a 2'-O-ribose methylation guide for 18S ribosomal RNA. The record is from Rfam by way of RNAcentral. Lineage: Eukaryota; Viridiplantae; Streptophyta; Magnoliopsida; Solanales; Solanaceae.
AAACCAUGAUUAGGCGACCUCACAAAAUAUAACUUGAAUCGAUCCCAUGCCUCAUGUAGAUGUUCUCCCGAUAGUUGCUUGAAAAAUAAAAUUUUAUCCCGGAGCUC